AUUGAACGCUGGCGGCAUGCUUUACACAUGCAAGUCGAACGGUAACAGGCCGCAAGGUGCUGACGAGUGGCGAACGGGUGAGUAAUGCAUCGGAACGUGCCCAGUCGUGGGGGAUAACUACUCGAAAGAGUAGCUAAUACCGCAUACGAUCUAUGGAUGAAAGCGGGGGACCGUAAGGCCUCGCGCGAUUGGAGCGGCCGAUGUCAGAUUAGGUAGUUGGUGGGGUAAAGGCUCACCAAGCCAACGAUCUGUAGCUGGUCUGGGAGGACGACCAGCCACACUGGGACUGAGACACGGCCCAGACUCCUACGGGAGGCAGCAGUGGGGAAUUUUGGACAAUGGGCGCAAGCCUGAUCCAGCAAUGCCGCGUGCAGGAAGAAGGCCUUCGGGUUGUAAACUGCUUUUGUACGGAACGAAACGGCUCUGGUUAAUACCCGGGGCUAAUGACGGUACCGGAAGAAUAAGCACCGGCUAACUACGUG
This 482-nucleotide ribosomal RNA is filed under the name uncultured bacterium. RNAcentral describes it as "partial 16S ribosomal RNA". It matches the Rfam family "Bacterial small subunit ribosomal RNA", at positions 30 to 507 of the family's 1533-position model. The record is from RNAcentral.